AACGCAGCGAACUGCGAUAAGUAAUGUGAAUUGCAGAAUUCAGUGAAUCAUCGAGUCUUUGAACGCACAUUGCGCCCCCUGGCAUUCCGGGGGGCAUGCCUGUCCGAGCGUCAUU
This 115-nucleotide ribosomal RNA is filed under the name Aspergillus caespitosus. RNAcentral's name for it is "partial 5.8S ribosomal RNA". It matches the Rfam family "5.8S ribosomal RNA", at positions 42 to 154 of the family's 154-position model. Rfam says of the family: 5.8S ribosomal RNA (5.8S rRNA) is a component of the large subunit of the eukaryotic ribosome. Lineage: Eukaryota; Fungi; Ascomycota; Eurotiomycetes; Eurotiales; Aspergillaceae. The record is from RNAcentral. RNAcentral also lists the same sequence under 1 other name.